Molecule: non-coding RNA, 401 nt
Organism: Osmerus eperlanus (European smelt)
Lineage: Eukaryota; Metazoa; Chordata; Actinopteri; Osmeriformes; Osmeridae
Source: the annotation of a RefSeq genome assembly
AGAACUCAUGAACUAUGAACAGAACCAUGACUCUGAUCACCAUCUUCAUCUGGACUCUAGCUGUCUACAUACAGGAGUCCAGAGGGCAGUACACUCUGACUCAGAGUCCUACAGUGAAAGCUGUUCCUGCAGAAGAAACAGUCUCCAUAGCCUGUAGAGUUAGUAGUCCUGUGCACGGUAAUAAUCAUCUAGCCUGGUACCUCCAGAGACCUGGAGAAGCUCCCAAACUCCUUGUUUACUACGCUACAACACUUCAGUCUGGGACUCCAUCUAGAUUCAGUGGUACAGGAUCACGUAGUGACUUCACUCUGACCAUCAGUGGAGUCCAGGCUGAAGAUGCAGGAGAUUACUACUGUCAGAGUUUACACUACCCUAACAGUGUCUGGGUGUUCACACAGUGA